Molecule: ribosomal RNA, 1436 nt
Filed under: Staphylococcus aureus
Lineage: Bacteria; Bacillati; Bacillota; Bacilli; Caryophanales; Staphylococcaceae
Description: bacterial SSU rRNA
Rfam family: Bacterial small subunit ribosomal RNA
Source: RNAcentral
AACACGUGGAUAACCUACCUAUAAGACUGGGAUAACUUCGGGAAACCGGAGCUAAUACCGGAUAAUAUUUUGAACCGCAUGGUUCAAAAGUGAAAGACGGUCUUGCUGUCACUUAUAGAUGGAUCCGCGCUGCAUUAGCUAGUUGGUAAGGUAACGGCUUACCAAGGCAACGAUGCAUAGCCGACCUGAGAGGGUGAUCGGCCACACUGGAACUGAGACACGGUCCAGACUCCUACGGGAGGCAGCAGUAGGGAAUCUUCCGCAAUGGGCGAAAGCCUGACGGAGCAACGCCGCGUGAGUGAUGAAGGUCUUCGGAUCGUAAAACUCUGUUAUUAGGGAAGAACAUAUGUGUAAGUAACUGUGCACAUCUUGACGGUACCUAAUCAGAAAGCCACGGCUAACUACGUGCCAGCAGCCGCGGUAAUACGUAGGUGGCAAGCGUUAUCCGGAAUUAUUGGGCGUAAAGCGCGCGUAGGCGGUUUUUUAAGUCUGAUGUGAAAGCCCACGGCUCAACCGUGGAGGGUCAUUGGAAACUGGAAAACUUGAGUGCAGAAGAGGAAAGUGGAAUUCCAUGUGUAGCGGUGAAAUGCGCAGAGAUAUGGAGGAACACCAGUGGCGAAGGCGACUUUCUGGUCUGUAACUGACGCUGAUGUGCGAAAGCGUGGGGAUCAAACAGGAUUAGAUACCCUGGUAGUCCACGCCGUAAACGAUGAGUGCUAAGUGUUAGGGGGUUUCCGCCCCUUAGUGCUGCAGCUAACGCAUUAAGCACUCCGCCUGGGGAGUACGACCGCAAGGUUGAAACUCAAAGGAAUUGACGGGGACCCGCACAAGCGGUGGAGCAUGUGGUUUAAUUCGAAGCAACGCGAAGAACCUUACCAAAUCUUGACAUCCUUUGACAACUCUAGAGAUAGAGCCUUCCCCUUCGGGGGACAAAGUGACAGGUGGUGCAUGGUUGUCGUCAGCUCGUGUCGUGAGAUGUUGGGUUAAGUCCCGCAACGAGCGCAACCCUUAAGCUUAGUUGCCAUCAUUAAGUUGGGCACUCUAAGUUGACUGCCGGUGACAAACCGGAGGAAGGUGGGGAUGACGUCAAAUCAUCAUGCCCCUUAUGAUUUGGGCUACACACGUGCUACAAUGGACAAUACAAAGGGCAGCGAAACCGCGAGGUCAAGCAAAUCCCAUAAAGUUGUUCUCAGUUCGGAUUGUAGUCUGCAACUCGACUACAUGAAGCUGGAAUCGCUAGUAAUCGUAGAUCAGCAUGCUACGGUGAAUACGUUCCCGGGUCUUGUACACACCGCCCGUCACACCACGAGAGUUUGUAACACCCGAAGCCGGUGGAGUAACCUUUUAGGAGCUAGCCGUCGAAGGUGGGACAAAUGAUUGGGGUGAAGUCGUAACAAGGUAGCCGUAUCGGAAGGUGCGGCUGGAUCACCUCCUUU